AUUGAACGCUGGCGGCAGGCUUAACACAUGCAAGUCGAACGGUAGCAGGAGAAAGCUUGCUUUCUUGCUGACGAGUGGCGGACGGGUGAGUAAUGCUUGGGAAUCUGGCUUAUGGAGGGGGAUAACUACGGGAAACUGUAGCUAAUACCGCGUAGAAUCGGAAGAUGAAAGUGCGGGACCGCAAGGCCGCAUGCCAUGAGAUGAGCCCAAGUGGGAUUAGGUAGUUGGUGGGGUAAAGGCCUACCAAGCCUGCGAUCUCUAGCUGGUCUGAGAGGAUGGCCAGCCACACUGGAACUGAGACACGGUCCAGACUCCUACGGGAGGCAGCAGUGGGGAAUAUUGCGCAAUGGGGGGAACCCUGACGCAGCCAUGCCGCGUGAAUGAAGAAGGCCUUCGGGUUGUAAAGUUCUUUCGGUAUUGAGGAAGGUUGAUGUGUUAAUAGUACAUCAAAUUGACGUUAAAUACAGAAGAAGCACCGGCUAACUCCGUGCCAGCAGCCGCGGUAAUACGGAGGGUGCGAGCGUUAAUCGGAAUAACUGGGCGUAAAGGGCACGCAGGCGGUUAUUUAAGUGAGGUGUGAAAGCCCCGGGCUUAACCUGGGAAUUGCAUUUCAGACUGGGUAACUAGAGUACUUUAGGGAGGGGUAGAAUUCCACGUGUAGCGGUGAAAUGCGUAGAGAUGUGGAGGAAUACUGAAGGCGAAGGCAGCCCCUUGGGAAUGUACUGACGCUCAUGUGCGAAAGCGUGGGGAGCAAACAGG
This 759-nucleotide ribosomal RNA is filed under the name Haemophilus influenzae. RNAcentral describes it as "bacterial SSU rRNA". It matches the Rfam family "Bacterial small subunit ribosomal RNA", at positions 28 to 776 of the family's 1533-position model. The record is from RNAcentral. Lineage: Bacteria; Pseudomonadati; Pseudomonadota; Gammaproteobacteria; Pasteurellales; Pasteurellaceae.